RNAcentral lists this transfer RNA (87 nucleotides) under Candidatus Caccenecus avistercoris. Its description in RNAcentral is "tRNA-Leu". It matches the Rfam family "tRNA". From Rfam's summary of the family: Transfer RNA (tRNA) molecules are approximately 80 nucleotides in length. Their secondary structure includes four short double-helical elements and three loops (D, anti-codon, and T loops). Further hydrogen bonds mediate the characteristic L-shaped molecular structure. tRNAs have two regions of fundamental functional importance: the anti-codon, which is responsible for specific mRNA codon recognition, and the 3' end, to which the tRNAs corresponding amino acid is attached (by aminoacyl-tRNA synthetases). tRNAs cope with the degeneracy of the genetic code in two manners: having more than one tRNA (with a specific anti-codon) for a particular amino acid; and 'wobble' base-pairing, i.e. permitting non-standard base-pairing at the 3rd anti-codon position. The record is from RNAcentral. Lineage: Bacteria; Bacillati; Bacillota; Bacilli.
GGGCGUGUGGCGGAAUCGGUAGACGCGUUGGUCUCAAACACCAAUAGUAGCAAUACUGUGUGGGUUCAAGUCCCACCACGCCCACCA